Molecule: ribosomal RNA, 478 nt
Filed under: uncultured bacterium
Lineage: Bacteria
Description: partial 16S ribosomal RNA
Rfam family: Bacterial small subunit ribosomal RNA
Source: RNAcentral
AUUGAACGCUGGCGGCAUGCCUUACACAUGCAAGUCGAACGGUAACAGGUUAAGCUGACGAGUGGCGAACGGGUGAGUAAUACAUCGGAACGUGCCCAGUAGUGGGGGAUAGCCCGGCGAAAGCCGGAUUAAUACCGCAUACGACCUAAGGGUGAAAGGGGGGGGAUCGCAAGACCUCUCGCUAUUGGAGCGGCCGAUGUCAGAUUAGCUAGUUGGUGGGGUAAAAGCUCACCAAGGCGACGAUCUGUAGCUGGUCUGAGAGGACGACCAGCCACACUGGGACUGAGACACGGCCCAGACUCCUACGGGAGGCAGCAGUGGGGAAUUUUGGACAAUGGGCGCAAGCCUGAUCCAGCCAUGCCGCGUGCGGGAAGAAGGCCUUCGGGUUGUAAACCGCUUUUGUCAGGGAAGAAAUCCUUUGGGUUAAUACCUCGGGGGGAUGACGGUACCUGAAGAAUAAGCUCCGGCUAACUACGUG